RNAcentral lists this long non-coding RNA (5428 nucleotides) under Setaria italica (foxtail millet). RNAcentral describes it as "long non-coding RNA (SITA_LNC007049)". Lineage: Eukaryota; Viridiplantae; Streptophyta; Magnoliopsida; Poales; Poaceae. The record is from RNAcentral.
UUCAAUCUUUGCCAUGUGCCGUCCCUCUAUCGCACGGAUUAGUCACUAUUCUCUUGUUGCCACGACACCUCGUGGACGGGCUCCGCCUGACUGCCUCCGCCACCACCACCUCUCCCGCACAGCGUCUGUGCGAAGCGGGCUCCGUCCUAGUAGCAAAUUAGAGAGAAUAUUGAAGAGAGAAGGGAGACAAGAAAUGAGUACUAGAGGAGAACGAGUGUUUCCACAAUACAAAUACGGUUUGUGGACCCCAUGCACAUAGAAACAUAACUUGAUCGAGUUCAGACACACUUUUGCGCUAGUUUCUUUUCUAGCGUUCUCAUGCCGAUUUAGAUUUCUAAUAAGAUGAGUGUGCUCUUCUGUAUCUGAACCAUUGGUCAUGCUUGGUUGUCCAACCAUCCGAUCUAGAAUGCCCCUUAUUAGAAAAAAAGAAUUUUUAUUCCAAUUCACUAAAUCUGCUGCUAUAUCUUCUUAAAGGAAUUGAAAUAAAAAUAAUAAAGUAUUGUUCAUUAAAAUAUUCAAAAUAUCUGAACACAAUAGUUUUGGUCGUUUAAAUUUUAAAAAGUAAAUCAAUGAAAAGUUAUCUGAUUAUUAGCUCACAAAAAGUACCGGUAUGUGUAUAGGAGAAUGAUUUAAGGCUACACUCGGUCACAAUUUAUUUUAAAUUAAUGGGCCACUACAAACGAAAGUGAUACCGUAGUUUCAAUUUAAUGAAGAAAGAGGUUGAACACUUGAACUAGUUUCAUCAAUAUAAAAUCAGGAAUUAGCACUACACACUUUUGAAAUCCCCCUCCUCUAUUGUAGCUCUAGGAUUUUCCACAGAUUAAAAUUUAGUCCAUGUCACAUCGAAUAUUUAGAUACUAAUUAGAAAUAUUAAAUAUAGACUAAUUACAAAACUAAUUGCACAAAUGGAGGCUAAUUCGCGAGACGAAUCUAUUAAACCUAGUCCAUAAUUUGACAAUGUGAUGCUAAUAUAGAUGUGCUAAUUAUGAAUUAAUUAGAUCUAGUAGAUUCAUCUCGCGAAUUAAUCUUCAUUUAUGUAAUUAGUUUUAUAAUUAAACAGGUCGUCCCCGAAGAUUCGAUACGACAAGUACUGAACCUUAGCUCAACCAUCAAAACACCCUUGAUGUACAUUAGUAUUACUGUAUGUAGCUCGCGAAAUAAACAGCGUGAAUAUAUUAUAGUCGAUCCGAGCGCCCCGCUGGUUUCACCCCUCAUCAUCUACCGUUCCCCUCUCUCCCUCGUGCCUUCCUUUCCUGCCGGCGACGACUGGGCGAGCGGCUGCGGCGGCGCCCUGCGCCCGUCUUCGCCGGCCCUUCGCCGGCGACGAGCACCCACCAGGUAUGCCCUCCCCUUCUCUUCCCUUCCUCUUCUGCGAAACGGAGCACCUCGAACCCUAACUGAGCUAUUUGUAUUCGGAUCUGACCCGGUUACAAGCAUGUACAUCUAUCGUACCUACUAACUUCAAUUUUUAGCGUACACCCAUGCCUUAAGCUGGUCCGCCCUCGAUUCUGUUAGGUUAUUGUUCUUCGACGUGCAAGAUCAAUCCACCCGAGGUGCUGCUGCAGAUUGUUUUCCAAAAAUUUUGGUGUUCAGCUGAACCCCCAUGCCCCACGUUACGUCAGCCUUGUGAUUUGGCGUGCUUUGUUAAACGGUCAAUCACCUCUGAAUUGGAAAUCUUGGCUGCAAGAACCAAUGGUAUGUUGGGCCUGACUGAAUCAGAAGAUAGCUGGUUUUAAAGCUUAGGUGGAUGCUAAAUUUCUAACCAGCUUGAGUUGCAGGACGUUAAAGGUCUUGAGGGAGAUAAGCUGGAGAAUAGGCUCUAUGUUGGGAAUCUGGACUUCAGGAUAUCAGAGUGGGUUACUUAUUUCUUUGUGUAUCUAGUUGCAUGUUCGUUUCAUGGUUCACCCUCACCCUUGCGUUCUGCAAACCAACAUUUGUAGCGUUGUUUUUUAGGUCUGAUGUUAUCAAGAUGUUUGCCCCCUUUGGAAAGAUUGCAGCAGAGGAUUUCUUGUGGCACACACGUGGCCCAAAGCAAGGUGAACCCCGGGGCUAUGCCUUUGUUCAAUACACCACCAAGGAGGUAAGAGUAGUAUUUUUUUCCUGUGGCAAAUAACAAUUGGUUAUCGUGUUCUCAGUUCUCACCUUUGCCACCUGAAGUAAGCAUGCAGGAAGCUCAGUUAGCAAAGGAAAAGAUGAAUGGCAAGUUAGUCUGUGGACGUCCAAUGGUGGUUCACCUGGCUAGUGAGAAAAGCUCUCUAGACUCUGGUCCUUCACAAAGAGCACUCAAAGACAAGAAACUGACAGGGGGUUCAGCAAGCAGAUCAGUACAAACUGAUCGCGCUGCAAAGGUAUCUGCCAUAAAAAGCAAGUUAAAAUCUCUUGAGGAAGAAGGGUGCAGCACAAAAAAACCAAGACUCACACCAAAUGACUUGACAGGCACUAGGGAACACUCUCAUAAGAAGUUUUGAACUGAGUUUUCGAGUUCUUCAGAAUGUUUGGGAGUUUGCAUCCUCUCACGCUGGUGACACUUCUAAAGCUGCUGCCAUUCUAUAUGGUUUUAGCUUUAGGAAGCUAGCCACACCAUAUGUGUAACAUUCCACUGUUUUGGAUAUAUGUACAACAGCUUGUACCAAUUACCUGUUUCUGAAUCAAUUUGUCGUUUUGAUAUGGGAAUCAGUGUGGCAAUAUAUUGCGUUGGCAUUGAUAAUGUGCUAGUCUGUGAGUGUCAGUUCCAUUGUUUGUUGCUGCUAUACAUACCACCGUUCUCCGAGAAAAAAUUGAACAUGUACCUGCAUUAAUGAAAUGCUUAUUUACACACAACUACAUGAAAGUAGAACAAAGAUUCAAAAACUGACAUGUACUGUUUUUUUUUAAUUUCUACUCAAUUAAUUUUGACACUUGCUCAAAGGUACACACUAAUACAUGGUAUUUGAUAUGGAUAUGUGUUCAGAUUUUUAUGUCAUCUGCUUGGUUUCAAAUAGACAAUCUUAACGAUUACACACUAUUUGACACAAGGCAGAUGAUAUGAAAAGCUGAAUACGUAUCAAUAUCGAAUGUGGAGUAGCAUCAGGUGAAAAUCUCUUAUGUAUCCAGUUUUUAUACUAUCUAAUGUAUCCAGAAAUAUGCUCAUUUUAUUGAAAGCAUCCAGGUAUAAUUUAGCUAUUACUACCUACUAUUGCAAUCGCAACUAUAUAAGUUGUUUGGAAAUACAAGGUAACAUUUUGACCACUAUUUAUUCCUUUACAAAUUAAAAUAGUUAUAGAUUAUUGAAUCACUUUUCAUGAAGAAUCUUAGUCAUAGUGUCACACCAAUUUCAUAUUUGUCAACUGAGAUAUUUUUCAGUAUAUUGAAACUUGGUAGAACGAACAAAAACUGUUGACUGGCCUCUUAUGUUUGCAAUAGGUCGGAGUAGUUGAAGCUAUCCUUAGUUUUGUUGCUCUGGUUUUUGUUUGAUAUGGUAUAAUGAUGCCAUCAUUGACAUCCAUGUAAUCCAGGGUCAUAUUCUGAAUGAUGAUGCAUUCUUUGAGUAAAAGAGUCUCCAAAGCUGUGUUGCUGGAAAGCUAGAAUUGGUGGGGACAAAAUGUAGUGUAAUGUUCCACAAAGUAUAUUCAGAAGUUCAGAAUCUGUCAUAUUAUGGUCGACAGUAAUUGAUACAUAGCUGCUCUGUCUAGUCUGUUCCUAAGUUUUGGAACAAGGACCAGUAGAGCAAUGACAGAACAACAGCAAUGUCAUUCAUGUCUCUACCUGGCAAAGCUGUCAUUUCUGUACCAGUUAUGCUGAAAUCAUUUAGAUAGAUAGUUGCAUUUUGGUUUUAUGAUAUCAUGCACAUCUCUAUUGUGCUGGAGCAUAAAAAAUUGCAUCAACGCUGAAUUAUUAACAUUAUUGUUCUUUUUUUCCCCUUUAGGAAGUGUGCCUUCAAAAGUUUGUGAUGUGUACAGAAACGAAAUAUUGAGAAGAUCGCCCCGUUUUCUAUUCAUAGUCAGUAUAUUUGAGGUAACUUACAUUCCAUGCCAAGCUAGAGAGUGUAGAUAAUUCCCUUUCCAUUUCCAGACUACUGUUGUUCUGCAAAGGUUCCUUCCAAUUUAAACCGGUUCUUGCUCCUUAAUAUCCUUGGAGUUGUCUUUACCAACUGGAAUGUUUAGGACUCUUUAAAAAAAUUGGAUGCUUAGAGUUGACAUAAAGUGUCUUAGACAUUACCUACUAGAGUAGGCAACUGGGACGCUGGUAGUAAAGAAUAAGAGUUCCUGGCAUUACCUAAGGCUGAGAGAAAAGAAUGUUGUAGUUUAAGAAAGGAAUAUGGAGGUAUUAACAAUAGUUUUACCUUGUAAAUUUUGCACAAAGCAUCUGAUAGCUUUUGCAAAGAUUAACAAAGUAGUAUUUUUUUUCAAUUAAAAAUUAAUGUCGUCUGAAAUGAAUCUGUAUCUUUCUCAAGUACAUUCCUGCACAUUUCCAUGUAGUUUUUUUUUAUGCUUCAUUCACGGAGAUGCAAUUGGUUUGAUUUAGGGACUAUUUGAUGUUGCUUAAGCAUAGCACUUCUAUGCUUGUGAUAUCUAUUUUGCCCCUAGUUUACUCUCAUCUGCAUUAAAACGAGACCAUGUGCCUACUCGAGGAGUCAAACCCAGUGCUUGUUCUAUGCGCUACAUACAGGUCUAGAACACCAACUGAACCCUAUUAAGAAAUGGAGGAGCAUAUCAACACACCUUUGAGGUCUAGACCAGAGACCUACUGGCUGCCGUAGCUCCAUGUCGUUAUUGCAGUUCCCCUGGCUGCUUACAGAGACCAUUGUCCCCUGUUCAAGGGUCUCGAACCUUGUCUCUCCCGGUCCAGGUUCAUGGAACUCCGUUUGAUUUCCCUUCAGAAUCUGAACAUGUUUCCCCGGUCAGCUUACACUCUUCCUGCUCCCAUGGUUUGAAUAUUGCAGGUGUGGCUAGAAAUCAGGCGACACGACGACGAUAACCGCAUAAAAGAUGCCUUGCAGCGGCUUGAAGAGACCGGGUUCGCAUGUGAGGACCACAGAUCUUGCACGGAUCCUGCCCCGGAACCAUAGAUUAUCUUCCCUGAAUUGUUAGAUCUGUGAUGUGAAGGCUGAGGAGCGCCGAGCGUUGCUGUUCCGUCUGGGAGGCUGGGGCUCGCCGGCAUCACAUGUAGGACAUGGCAUGGGGUGGAUGCUGCCUGCUGAAAUGCUGCCGCGGCUUUUUGUCAGGAUUAUCUCACCCACCCGACUAAUCCCGUAUUAUUGCUGCCAACAUUGAUGACCUUGUCUCUGACGGGUCCGGAAGAGCACUGCUUAUUAGUACACUAUUUUGUCAUUUGUCUGGUACCCUGGUCCAGUACGACACAGCAUACCAACCAUACAUGUUCCGGGUGUUCAUCAGACUGAUCUUUCAUCACAGCCAAAUUUCUACUACGUAUAGUAGGUAAUUCUUAU